CCUACGGGCGGCAGCAGUGAGGAAUAUUGCACAAUGGACGAGACCCUGAUCCAGCCACGCCGCGUGAAGGAUGAAGUCUUUCUGUAUUUAAACCUCUUUCUGCAUGGGAGUAAAUCACGGUACCUGACUCAUCAUCCACGUCUCACUACGUUCCAGCAGCAGCGGUAAUACGCAGGAGGCCAGCGUUAUCCGGAUUUACUGGGUGUAAAGGGAGCGUAGUCGGGAUUGCAAGUCAGAAGUGAAAGGUCACGGCUCAACCAUGAAAUUGCAUUUGAAACUGUAAAUCUUGAGUGCAGUGGAGGUAGGUGGAAUUCGUGGUGUAGCGGUGAAAUGCGUAGAUAUCAGGAGGAACUCCAGUGGCGAAGGCGGCUUACUGAACUGCCAAUGACGUUGAGGCUCGAAAGCGUGGGGAGCAAACAGGAGUAGAUACCCUUGUAGUC
RNAcentral lists this ribosomal RNA (440 nucleotides) under uncultured bacterium. Its description in RNAcentral is "partial 16S ribosomal RNA". It matches the Rfam family "Bacterial small subunit ribosomal RNA", at positions 338 to 795 of the family's 1533-position model. The record is from RNAcentral.